RNAcentral lists this ribosomal RNA (253 nucleotides) under uncultured bacterium. Its description in RNAcentral is "partial 16S ribosomal RNA". It matches the Rfam family "Bacterial small subunit ribosomal RNA", at positions 524 to 776 of the family's 1533-position model. The record is from RNAcentral.
UACGUAGGGUGCAAGCGUUGUCCGGAAUUAUUGGGCGUAAAGAGCUCGUAGGCGGCUUGUCGCGUCGGCUGUGAAAACCUAGGGCUCAACCCUGGGCCUGCAGCCGAUACGGGCAAGCUAGAAUUCGGUAGGGGAGACUGGAAUUCCUGGUGUAGCGGUGAAAUGCGUAGAUAUCAGGAGGAACACCUGUGGCGAAAGCGGCUCACUGGACCACAACUGACGCUGAUGCACGAAAGCUAGGGGAGCAAACGGG